UACAGAGGGGGCAAGCGUUGUUCGGAAUUACUGGGCGUAAAGGGCGCGUAGGCGGCCUUCUAAGUCGAACGUGAAAUCCCCGGGCUCAACCCGGGAACUGCGUCCGAUACUGGAAGGCUUGAAUCCGGGAGAGGGAUGCGGAAUUCCAGGUGUAGCGGUGAAAUGCGUAGAUAUCUGGAGGAGCACCGGUGGCGAAGGCGGCAUCCUGGACCGGUAUUGACGCUGAGGCGCGAAAGCCAGGGGAGCAAACAGG
RNAcentral lists this ribosomal RNA (253 nucleotides) under uncultured bacterium. RNAcentral's name for it is "partial 16S ribosomal RNA". It matches the Rfam family "Bacterial small subunit ribosomal RNA", at positions 524 to 776 of the family's 1533-position model. The record is from RNAcentral.